CAGUCGCCGCGGGAAUACGGAGGAUCCAAGCGUUAUCCGGAAUCAUUGGGUUUAAAGGGUCCGUAGGCGGUCUGGUAAGUCAGUGGUGAAAGCCCAUCGCUCAACGGUGGAACGGCCAUUGAUACUGCUGGACUUGAAUUAUUAGGAAGUAACUAGAAUAUGUAGUGUAGCGGUGAAAUGCUUAGAGAUUACAUGGAAUACCAAUUGCGAAGGCAGGUUACUACUAAUGGAUUGACGCUGAUGGACGAAAGCGUGGGUAGCGAACAGGAUUAGAUACCCGUGUAGUCCCUGUCUCUUAUAC
This 301-nucleotide ribosomal RNA is filed under the name uncultured bacterium. RNAcentral's name for it is "partial 16S ribosomal RNA". It matches the Rfam family "Bacterial small subunit ribosomal RNA", at positions 509 to 807 of the family's 1533-position model. The record is from RNAcentral.